GCAGUCCUAAAUAUAGUUCAAAUAGGUAAAAGUUUCACAGUCCAAUUCAGUAAACGAGAUUUUAACUAGACAGUCUUGAUUCAAGGUAAUUUAAACACAAUAGACUAAGCAGCUACACAGAAAGCGAAAAUGAACUGGACAUGGUAAAAUGCUCCAACAAGCUCCAGUAUUGCUACUGUGUUUCCAUUUCAAUUAAGGAGAUUACAUUGAAAUUAUUUGAUAGUGUACAUGGAUUUCAAUAGAACAAAGAACAACAGGAGUCAGCAUCAACUUAGUACAGCAGGCCAAUGUAAUUCUAGUUAGAUCCAAAUGCACAACCCAGAAAAAGUUCGAAAACCAACAACAACAGCAAGUAAUCAAACAAAGGGACUCAAUUGAACUUGAAACACACCCAAAAUAGAAGCUGUAAUCUACAGAGUAAUUUAAGCACACGUCUAGGUGAUCAACACAAGACCAUGAAAUCCAAAUUUACCCCAAUUUUAACCCCAGCUAACGUUAGACCACUUGAAUAGUACCACACUACUUCAAUAAACCCAAAACCUAACGGAAACUAUAAAAGUGAGAGGAAAACUAGCUGAAAAAUAGAAUCAGAUCUGCAGAAUUCUCAAUGAAACAAUAUAUAUCUUUUUUUGAUUUUUUCAGUUUUUUGUUUGUUUUUGUUUUUUUUUGAAAUUCAAAUCUCACAUUAAGUAUGAUAAAGUUAAAGAGGGAUAGUUUGGGUGGAGUUGUAUGGCUGAAAAAAAGACCCCUCUCUAAG
This 757-nucleotide long non-coding RNA is filed under the name Nicotiana benthamiana. RNAcentral describes it as "long non-coding RNA (NBEN_LNC026198)". Lineage: Eukaryota; Viridiplantae; Streptophyta; Magnoliopsida; Solanales; Solanaceae. The record is from RNAcentral.